Molecule: transfer RNA, 30 nt
Filed under: Jaborosa cabrerae
Lineage: Eukaryota; Viridiplantae; Streptophyta; Magnoliopsida; Solanales; Solanaceae
Description: partial tRNA-Phe
Source: RNAcentral
GCCGGAUAGCUCAGUUGGUAGAGCAGAGGA